GAUGAAGAACGUAGCGAAAUGCGAUAAGUAAUGUGAAUUGCAGAGUUCAGUGAAUCAUCGAAUCUUUGAACGCACAUUGCGCCCUGUGGUAUUCCGCAGGGCAUGCCUGUUCGAGCGUCAUUUCAACCCUCAAGCCUCGCUUGGUGUUGGGCCCUGCCCGCCGCGGCCGGCCCUAAAGAUAGUGGCGGCGCCGCCUGGCCCUCAGCGUAGUACAGCUCUCGCUCCAGGGUCCGGCGGCAGCCUGCCAGAACCCCCCAACUCUGUGGUUGACCUCGGAUCAGGUAGGGAUACCCGCUGAACUUAAGCAUAUCAAUAAGCGGAGGA
RNAcentral lists this unclassified non-coding RNA (324 nucleotides) under soil metagenome. Its description in RNAcentral is "partial contains 5.8S ribosomal RNA, internal transcribed spacer 2, and large subunit ribosomal RNA". The stretch from base 1 to 120 matches the Rfam family "5.8S ribosomal RNA", at positions 35 to 154 of the family's 154-position model. The record is from RNAcentral.